Molecule: transfer RNA, 71 nt
Filed under: Planctomycetia bacterium
Lineage: Bacteria; Pseudomonadati; Planctomycetota; Planctomycetia
Description: tRNA-Gln
Rfam family: tRNA
About the family: Transfer RNA (tRNA) molecules are approximately 80 nucleotides in length. Their secondary structure includes four short double-helical elements and three loops (D, anti-codon, and T loops).
Source: RNAcentral
AACCCGGUGGUGUAAUGGCAGCACCAGGGAUUUUGGUUCCCUUAGUCAAGGUUCGAAUCCUUGCCGGGUUG